This 710-nucleotide ribosomal RNA is filed under the name uncultured bacterium. RNAcentral's name for it is "bacterial SSU rRNA". It matches the Rfam family "Bacterial small subunit ribosomal RNA", at positions 66 to 753 of the family's 1533-position model. The record is from RNAcentral.
ACGCGAAAGGCCCCUUCGGGGGCCGAGUAGAGUGGCGUCCGGGUGAGUAACACGUGAGUAAUUUGCCUUCGGGUGGGGAAUAACAACCGGAAACGGUUGCUAAUACCGCAUAAUGCAGCGGCACCACAUGGUGACAGUUGUUAAAGCGGGGGAUUCGCAAGAACCUCGUGCCUGAAGAGAAGCUCGCGGCGGAUUAGCUAGUUGGUAGGGUAACGGCCUACCAAGGCAACGAUCCGUAGCCGGCCUGAGAGGGCGGUCGGCCACACUGACACUGACACACGGGUCAGACUCCUACGGGAGGCAGCAGUCGGGAAUUUUGGGCAAUGGGCGAAAGCCCGACCCAGCAACGCCGCGUGAAGGAUGAAGUUUUUCGGAAUGUAAACUUCACAAGAAUGGGAAGAAUAAGGAGGGGUUAAUACCCCCUUCGAUGACGGUACCAUUUGUAAGCUCCGGCUAACUCCGUGCCAACAGCCGCGGUAAUACGGGGGGAGCAAGCGUUGUUCGGAUUUACUGGGCGUAAAGGGCGCGUAGGCGGCGCAACAAGUCACUUGUGAAAUCUCCGGGCUUAACUCGGAGCGGCCAAGUGAUACUGUCGUGCUAGAGUGCGGAAGGGGCAACUGGAAUUCUCGGUGUAGCGGUGAAAUGCGUAGAUAUCGAGAGGAACACCUGCGGCGAAGGCGGGUUGCUGGGCCGACACUGACGCUGAGGCG